RNAcentral lists this ribosomal RNA (305 nucleotides) under uncultured bacterium. Its description in RNAcentral is "bacterial SSU rRNA". It matches the Rfam family "Bacterial small subunit ribosomal RNA", at positions 333 to 655 of the family's 1533-position model. The record is from RNAcentral.
UCAUGCCUACGGGACGCAGCAGUGGGGAAUAUUGCACAAUGGGGGGAACCCUGAUGCAGCGACGCCGCGUGAGUGAAGAAGUAUUUCGGUAUGUAAACUUCUAUCAGCAGGGAAGAAAAUGACGGUACCUGACUAAGAAGCCCCGGCUAACUACGUGCCAGCAGCCGCGGUAAUACGUAGGGGGCAAGCGUUAUCCGGAUUUACUGGGUGUAAAGGGAGCGUAGGCGGUUUAGCAAGUCAGAAGUGAAAGCCCGGGGCUCAACUCCGGGACUGCUUUUGAUACUGUUGAACUUGAUUGCAGGAGG